RNAcentral lists this transfer RNA (62 nucleotides) under uncultured Treponema sp. It matches the Rfam family "tRNA", at positions 6 to 65 of the family's 71-position model. Rfam says of the family: Transfer RNA (tRNA) molecules are approximately 80 nucleotides in length. The record is from RNAcentral. Lineage: Bacteria; Pseudomonadati; Spirochaetota; Spirochaetia; Treponematales; Treponemataceae.
CUAUAGUUCAGCGGUAGAGCGCCAGAUUGUGGAUCUGGUUGUCGUCGGUUCGAUCCCGACUA